RNAcentral lists this small RNA (28 nucleotides) under Bombyx mori (domestic silkworm). Its description in RNAcentral is "ovarian small RNA-31784". The record is from RNAcentral. Lineage: Eukaryota; Metazoa; Arthropoda; Insecta; Lepidoptera; Bombycidae.
UGACGGUAGUGUGCGGCGCAGUCUCAAC